This 311-nucleotide ribosomal RNA is filed under the name uncultured bacterium. Its description in RNAcentral is "bacterial SSU rRNA". It matches the Rfam family "Bacterial small subunit ribosomal RNA", at positions 28 to 340 of the family's 1533-position model. The record is from RNAcentral.
GACGAACGCUGGCGGCGUGCUUAACACAUGCAAGUCGAACGGUGAACCACCUUCGGGUGGGGAUCAGUGGCGAACGGGUGAGUAACACGUGGGCAACCUGCCCCUAGCUCUGGGAUAACCCCGGGAAACCGGGGCUAAUACCGGAUAUGACUCCGAGCGGCAUCGCUUGGAGUGGAAAGUUUUUCGGUCUAGGGAUGGGCCCGCGGCCUAUCAGCUUGUUGGUGGGGUAACGGCCUACCAAGGCGACGACGGGUAGCCGGCCUGAGAGGGCGACCGGCCACACCUGGGACUGAGACACGGCCCAGACUCCU